AUGAUUCAUGAAAACAUGCAGACCACGAGUUCUGAGUCGACGUCGUCAAGCAGCUCAGGCUCUUCGUCGUCGAGUUCUUCGAGCUCGGGGAGUGAAUCCAGCUCCUCUGAUUCUGAAAAUUCGAGCAGUUCGGCACGCAGUCAGAAACAAUCGGAUACAGAGAAAAACAAAAAAAAAAUACCCGCCUCCGUCAGCAGGCAUAUCAAAUCGAAGAGCGAUGGUGCAGCAGCAGGCGGGUCUGAGAACAAAGCGAAGGAAAAAGUUCAACCAAAGUCCAAAUCUGUUGUAUAUUCCUCCGAGUCGGAGGAAUUACCUGGCAAAGUAAAACCAGCCAAGAGAAAACCUCCUCCAAAACCAAAAGCCACGGCGACCAUCGCCCCGGUUGUUAAACCUCAAAGGCCGCAAAGUAAAAUUGCACCUUCCGGCGUUGCGCAAAAAAAUGUUGCUACUGCCAAACUCGUUCAUGGAAAAGGGAAUAAAUUUUCUGGAAAUACCAGCAGCGCUGCAAAACUACCAGAAAAACCGGUGAAAGCAGCGGCAGUUGAACCUGUACAAAAGAAGCUUAAGAAAAAAAGUAUUUUCAGUCCAGAGAACAGCAGCGAAAGCGAUUCUGUUUCACCACCUGGUAAAUCUAAUGCUCAGAAAAGUGCAAGUAAUGCGGGCAAAGGAUCCAAACCGGCACCGCAGAGACCUAAACCUGCGGAGCUCAAAGCUCGAGUACCAGCCAAUACCAGACCCGCAGCGAGACCUCAACGACCUUCGAAAUCUGAGAGUUCUGCGAGUUCGAAGAGUUGUUCCGGUGGUUCGGCUGGUUCGGGAAGUUCCGGAUCCUCGGACAGCAGUUCAGAUUCCGAUUCGACGGACAGCGUGGCAAGCCCCCAGACCCAACAAGUCAAGAAGAAGCCAAACAAUAAUUCAGGCGGAGGAAGUGGAACGAAUAGUUUACCGCCAAAAAGACCGUCGGUCGCUGUAGCCGCUGUAAAACCUCAGAAAAAUUCUAAACGUCCGAGUAUCGUAAAGAGCGAGGACGAUGGCGAUGCUUCGGACAGUGAAAAAGACGAUGCCGAAAAUAGUUCGACCGCUACGACCCCCAAGGGCAAAAGAAAACUGCAAGCUCGAAAGAGUAACAAAAUGUUGCAGAUGCAAACGAAGAUCGAAAGCGAUUCGGAAUCCGAUGCAGCGGAAUCGAAGAGAAGCUUGAGCAAAUCGCCAGUGAAACGCAGCAGUGGUAGCGGCUCUCGACAUUUUUCAACGUCAGGACGUACCGGAUCGGGCAGCGGAGGUUCGAGUGCUGCGAGCGUUGGUCGCGGAGGUCAAGGAACGUUUACGCGAGCCCGUAGUGUCAAAGAUCGAGAAUGUCCUCUCGCUGUUUCUUGCGAUUCACGAGGCCACUUGUCUGGGCGAUUUGACACACAUUUCACCCUCGAAUCUUGCCCUUUGUAUCACAACACGACGCCGCAGGCUUGUGUGGAUUUUUUCAAAGAACGAAAGAAACGGGAGGAAGAGCGUAAAAAAAGCAUCAUAAAUUUGGGUAAAAAAUCGCCUAAAGGCAUGCACCAAACGAAUGAGCAACGGAAUUAUCAACUGAAGGUCAAGGAGCUGCGGAGCAAGUGGAAAAAACCGAGCGGAGAUGGUAACGAGAGCGACAGCUGUAGUGAACCACCGGGAAUUGAGAAAGAUCGACAACCUCGUCUUACCGAUCUCACACCUGACUAUGAUCUGAAACUCUUUAUGGAAGCUCAAGCAUUGGCGAGUGAAAAAAUCGAAAAAGAAUUGAAUGAUCUGGAUUAUGAUGCGGAGGGAAGGAACGGUGGUGGAACGAGGUGCGUGGAAAUGGGAAAAUGGAAUAUGGAAGUUUGGUACCAGAGUCCUUAUCCCGAAGAAUUUAGUCGCGCACCAAAACUUUAUUUGUGCGAAUAUUGUCUAAGAUACGCGAAAAGUCGUCAAGUUUUACGUCGUCAUCGUGAGAAAUGCCUGUGGAGGCAUCCACCAGGACACGAAGUUUACAGGAAAGACAAAAUCGGCGUUUGGGAAGUUGACGGAAAGCGUUACAAACAAUAUUGUCAAAACCUUUGUUUGCUGGCGAAAUUUUUUCUCGACCACAAAACACUUUAUUACGAUGUCGAACCAUUUUUAUUCUACGUUAUGACGAUAGGCGAUUCCGAAGGUUGUCAUACCGUUGGAUAUUUCAGCAAGACGAUUGAUGAAAAGUAAGGAACGUCAAUGGGGAGAGGGGGCAAGGGUGCGCAUAGCGCGAGUCCCAAACGGAAAUCUGGGAGUAGAAAAUAGGGAGUGGCUCUCAGCUGGUGCAGUUGCAGCAUCCAAGAAGCUUAGCGGAUAGCACGUAUUCCCCUCCACAUAGAGAAAAGCGAGGACAGUUCGGAGGGUGGGAAGAGAGAAGCUCGUGAAAUUCCGGGAUACUGCGAUUGUACUCGUGGGCUUUCGAGUCUCAUUCAAGUACCACCGCAUUAUCCUAUAUAGCCUGCUGCGGUAUCCUAGGACACUGCUGUGGUGUUACAAUUUGCAACGAGUCGUAAAAUUCUAUUUCCUACAUCGCAUCACCAUUCUUGGCCUAUAAGCUUCAUUUUUACAGAUUCUUCAAGCGUAUUUCACUUUUUUAAACAAUAGCUUCACCGAGCUCUUCUACGAACGGAAGAGAACGAGCAACGUUUCAACGGUACAACGUAAUUCAAACGUAAAUACGAGUAGCAAAAAACUGGAAAAAUAUAAUUGCCGGACUCGAGUUCGUUUCGAGUGGCCAUCGGCGACUCGCCAUAUCAACGAGAUUAUAAAGUUUCUCAUUGUUUCUCGAGUGAAAGAACCAAGAUCGAGCUUUACUCUUGACGAGUUUGUCAUACAUCAAAGGGAGAGCCCGUGGAUGUUUAUUCAACGGUUAUCGGUUGGACUGAUUUCACAUUCAUGAAUUCGCUCACGACGAUUUCAAACGAGGCUCCGGUUAAUCAUUAAGAAGUGGUCUUCCCCUCGCUUCUCACCGAGGAAAAAAAUUCUUUCCUCAAUUACAACGUGUCUUGUAUACUGACCCUGCCGCCUUAUCAACGCCAGGGUUACGGACGUCUUC
This 3079-nucleotide unclassified non-coding RNA is filed under the name Venturia canescens. RNAcentral describes it as "histone acetyltransferase KAT7, transcript variant X2". Lineage: Eukaryota; Metazoa; Arthropoda; Insecta; Hymenoptera; Ichneumonidae. The record is from RNAcentral.